RNAcentral lists this ribosomal RNA (1195 nucleotides) under uncultured bacterium. RNAcentral describes it as "bacterial SSU rRNA". It matches the Rfam family "Bacterial small subunit ribosomal RNA", at positions 293 to 1533 of the family's 1533-position model. The record is from RNAcentral.
UUAGAGGAGAGAGGUCUCACCUGGUAUGGAACUGCCAGUUCUUCGAUGCACGUUAGUACUUUGGUCAAUGUCGAGACUGACCAGCCAAGUCCGUGAACGAGACUGCCUAUGGUGUACCUUCUUACAAGGGAUAAAUGAGAACGGUAAUUAAUGCAUGUACUUUGGAUUAGCAUCGCUACUCGGACCAGCAGCCGCGGUAUUCGAGGAUGCGAGCGUAUUCUGGAUCUAUUGGGUUUAAAGGGUGAGUAGUCGGUCUGUUCAGUCAGCAGUGAAAGUUAGUAGCUUAACGAUAAAAUUGCCGUGAUACUGGUAGUCUUGAGUAUAGAUGAAGUAGGCUGGAAUGCGUGGUGUAGCGGUGAAAUGCAUAGAGAUCACGCAGAACUCCGAUUGCGAAGGCAGCUUACUAAGGUAUAACUGACACUGAAGCACGAAAGCGUGGGUAUCAAACAGGAUUAGAUACCCUGGUAGUGCACGCAGUAAACGAUGAUUACUAGGAGUUUGCGAUAUAGUGUAAGCUCUACAGCGAAAGCGUUAAGUAAUCCACCUGGGGAGUACGCCGGCAACGGUGAAACUCAAAGGAAUUGACGGGGGCCCGCACAAGCGGAGGAACAUGUGGUUUAAUUCGAUGAUACGCGAGGAACCUUACCCGGGAUUGAAAUGUAGACGACGGAGAGUGAGAGCUUUCUUCCCUUCGGGGCGUCUAUGUAGGUGCUGCAUGGUUGUCGUCAGCUCGUGCCGUGAGGUGUCGGCUUAAGUGCCAUAACGAGCGCAACCCUGACUGUCAGUUGCUAACAGGUAAAGCUGAGGACUCUGGCGGGACUGCCGGCGUAAGCUGUGAGGAAGGUUGGGAUGACGUCAAAUCAGCACGGCCCUUACAUCCGGGGCGACACACGUGUUACAAUGGCAGGGACAAAGGGCAGCUACCGGGCGACCGGAUGCCAAUCUCCAAACCCUGUCUCAGUUCGGAUCGGAGUCUGCAACUCGACUCCGUGAAGCUGGAUUCGCUAGUAAUCGCGCAUCAGCCAUGGCGCGGUGAAUACGUUCCCGGGCCUUGUACACACCGCCCGUCAAGCCAUGGGAGCCGGGGGUACCUAAAGUCCGUAACCGCGAGGAUCGGCCUAGGGUAAAACUGGUGACUGGGGCUAAGUCGUAACAAGGUAGCCGUACCGGAAGGUGCGGUUGGAUCACCUCCUUC